GAUGAACGCUGGCGGCGUGCCUAAUACAUGCAAGUCGAGCGAACAGAUGAGGAGCUUGCUCCUCUGACGUUAGCGGCGGACGGGUGAGUAACACGUGGAUAACCUACCUAUAAGACUGGGAUAACUUCGGGAAACCGGAGCUAAUACCGGAUAAUAUAUUGAACCGCAUGGUUCAAUAGUGAAAGACGGUUUUGCUGUCACUUAUAGAUGGAUCCGCGCCGCAUUAGCUAGUUGGUAAGGUAACGGCUUACCAAGGCAACGAUGCGUAGCCGACCUGAGAGGGUGAUCGGCCACACUGGAACUGAGACACGGUCCAGACUCCGACGGGAGGCAGCAGUAGGGAAUCUUCCGCAAUGGGCGAAAGCCUGACGGAGCAACGCCGCGUGAGUGAUGAAGGUCUGCGGAUCGUAAAACUCUGUUAUUAGGGAAGAACAAAUGUGUAAGUAACUAUGCACGUCUUGACGGUACCUAAUCAGAAAGCCACGGCUAACUACGU
RNAcentral lists this ribosomal RNA (496 nucleotides) under uncultured bacterium. Its description in RNAcentral is "partial 16S ribosomal RNA". It matches the Rfam family "Bacterial small subunit ribosomal RNA", at positions 28 to 506 of the family's 1533-position model. The record is from RNAcentral.